This 468-nucleotide ribosomal RNA is filed under the name uncultured bacterium. RNAcentral's name for it is "partial 16S ribosomal RNA". It matches the Rfam family "Bacterial small subunit ribosomal RNA", at positions 28 to 507 of the family's 1533-position model. The record is from RNAcentral.
GACGAACGCUGGCGGCGUGCUUAACACAUGCAAGUCGAACGGAAAGGCCCUGCUUUUGUGGGGUGCUCGAGUGGCGAACGGGUGAGUAACACGUGAGUAACCUGCCCUUGACUUUGGGAUAACUUCAGGAAACUGGGGCUAAUACCGGAUAGGAGCUCCUGCUGCAUGGUGGGGGUUGGAAAGUUUCGGCGGUUGGGGAUGGACUCGCGGCUUAUCAGCUUGUUGGUGGGGUAGUGGCUUACCAAGGCUUUGACGGGUAGCCGGCCUGAGAGGGUGACCGGCCACAUUGGGACUGAGCUACGGCCCAGCCUCCUCCGGGAGGCAGCAGUGGGGAAUAGUGCACAAUGGGCUGAAGCCUGAUGCAGCAACGCCGCGUGCGGGAUGACGGCCUUCGGGUUGUAUUCCGCUUUCGCCUGUGACGAAGCGUGAGUGACGGUAAUGGGUAAAGAAGCACCGGCUAACUACGUG